UUUCCGUAGGUGAACCUGCGGAAGGAUCAUUCAUAAUAAAGUGUUUUAUGGCACUUUUUAAAAAUCCAUAUCCACCUUGUGUGCAAUGUUAGAUCUCGUCAAUCUUGGCGAGAUUUUUAUACAUCAACUCAUUCUUUAACUAAUUUGUCUGAAAAAUAUUAUGAAUACUUAAUUCAAAAUACAACUUUCAACAACAGAUCUCUUGGCUCUCACAUCGAUGAAGAACGCAGC
RNAcentral lists this unclassified non-coding RNA (231 nucleotides) under plant metagenome. Its description in RNAcentral is "partial contains small subunit ribosomal RNA, internal transcribed spacer 1, and 5.8S ribosomal RNA". The stretch from base 183 to 231 matches the Rfam family "5.8S ribosomal RNA", at positions 1 to 49 of the family's 154-position model. The record is from RNAcentral.